Molecule: ribosomal RNA, 448 nt
Filed under: uncultured bacterium
Lineage: Bacteria
Description: SSU rRNA
Rfam family: Bacterial small subunit ribosomal RNA
Source: RNAcentral
AGAGCGAACGCUGGCGGCAGGCUUAACACAUGCAAGUCGAGCGGGCGUAGCAAUACGUCAGCGGCAGACGGGUGAGUAACGCGUGGGAACGUACCUUUUGGUUCGGAACAACCCGGGGAAACUUGGGCUAAUACCGGAUAAGCCCUUACGGGGAAAGAUUUAUCGCCGAAAGAUCGGCCCGCGUCUGAUUAGCUAGUUGGUGAGGUAAUGGCUCACCAAGGCGACGAUCAGUAGCUGGUCUGAGAGGAUGAUCAGCCACAUUGGGACUGAGACACGGCCCAAACUCCUACGGGAGGCAGCAGUGGGGAAUAUUGGACAAUGGGCGCAAGCCUGAUCCAGCCAUGCCGCGUGAGUGAUGAAGGCCCUAGGGUUGUAAAGCUCUUUUGUGCGGGAAGAUAAUGACGGUACCGCAAGAAUAAGCCCCGGCUAACUUCGUGCCAGCAGCCGC